Long non-coding RNA from Ictalurus punctatus (channel catfish), 3208 nucleotides. Lineage: Eukaryota; Metazoa; Chordata; Actinopteri; Siluriformes; Ictaluridae. The record is from Ensembl.
CUAUAUUCGUUGCUUGUCCAAUGCAUUGUGGGAAUAUGGUGUGAACUGAGAGGCAAGGGAGUGUGAGAGCGUCUCACUUACUAAGUUAAAGAAGGCACAAGGGGCAGGACCACCUAACACGUGUGCCCAACCCCCAUUUCCAUCCUCUAAACACACACACUCUUCCUCACACACUCUCUUUCUCUUUGACUUUUUUUCCAGUGUCUCUCAGAGCUGUGUGUGUGCUGCUCCUGCUCCCUCUCUCUCUCUCUUUCUCUCUCUCUCUAUUCAUCUCCACUGUGUGUGAGAUAACGUCUGCCUCUGAGACCAGUCUCAGGAGUUCCAAGAGCAUUCAGUGAGUUUCAUUCAGAAAUCUGAAGACAUCAUGAAGUUUGAACUGCUGCUGCUGAUUGCCCUAGUUGGGUCUUUUUGUACCAUCACACAUGCAAGAUCUUGUGCUUCUUUCCAGCUGCAUCUAAAGGAAGUGAGCCGACGUGUUUGGAAUGAGUGAUGACGCAGGCGGGAUAUGAGCUCUUCAGGGUGGGGUUUAGGAGGGGCCUUGCCUUGGAGGUACUAUUGUGGUACCCACAGACGUGGUGCUGGCACAAGUGACAGGGGCCUUUGGGCCCACUGAGGCUGCAGAGACAUUAAAGGAGGUGGAGGAACCUGUCACUGAAGCACCAGCACCAGCUGCUACUGAAGCUGCUGUGGUGGAAGCAGAGACACCAUCUGCUCAUACUAAAGUUCCUGUAGUGGAAGCAGAGACACCAUCAGCUCAUACUAAAGUUCCUGUGGUGGAAGCAGAGACACCAUCAGUUCAUACUGAAGUUCCUGUGAAGGAAACAGAGGCACCAUCAGUUCAUACUACAGCUCAGACGGCGCAAGCAGAAACAACAGAAGGAGUUACGGAAGCUCCUGCCAAAAACACCGAAACAACUGUGGAGGCAGAGGAUGCUGCAGCUACAGAAGCUACACCUGAAGUUAUUGAGGUAGCAGAUGAAACUGAAGCUCCAAAAACAGGGCUGUCAAUCACAGAGACAGUAUUAAACGCAGAGGCAGACCAAGUGAUCGAAACAGAGGGGGAUGAGGUGGAAGUGGAGGACUCAGAGGGUAUGAGCACGGGUCAAGUGGUGGGCAUUGUGUUUGGUGCACUGGUCGCUGUGGUCAUCAUCAUUGCAGUGAUAGUCGUGGUGGUCAGGAGGAUGGGACAAUACUCCCCCUGAAAAGGAAGGUGGCAAGACAGGAAGAAAAGAAGAAAAAGAAGAGGUUCUGGAAAUUCUGAACUACUGAACUGAUGUCAUUUCCUGUCAUUAAAUAAGCAAGCCAGGAGCACUCUAAUCAUCCAGGACAAUUAGGGCAGCAUCCUGCCUUACCCUAUCCCUAGAACCAUUGAUUUGGACACUUCCCCCAUCACCCUAACACCCCCCCCCCCCCCCCCCCCCCAAACAAACAAACAAAAAACCCUGCCCAUAACCCCCACCACUGCCAAAGAUUCAGACAGGAAGUAAAGGAGGAGGAAGAAUUUGAAUGUGUCACAUAUACUUACAACACAUCUGGGUUGUUAUGUGGACCUAAUGAGCAAACACAUUAACAGCCAGUUAAAAAAAAACAAACUAAAAUAUCUUUUAAAAUAACGGGGAGAUAUGAGGUAAAGUACAGAAACGCGAAAUAGUACAUAUGUAAAUAACACCAAAAAUGGCCAUAACUCACCAGCCUUUAACUUUCUCUCUUUUUUUUAUUGCAUUCUAUGUAUCGAAAGCAUGCUUGAACACACACCAGCAGUAGUUGAGUCUAUAUCCACAUUCAAUUCCAUGUAGCAUGACAAACAUUAAUGUGCUGCAGUAGUAUGACACAUAAAAAGCAUUUUAUAACCAGAUUAUAGGCAUUUUAUAAAGAGAUUGUAACAUGUUGUAUACAUUCCCAAGCAGAUCAGAUGUCAGGACAAAUUGGGCCUGCAUAAUAUCUUUCAUAUUUUGGUUUAACUAGUAGCUUUAAUCCUGACAUAUAAAACUUUGACAGGACAUUAAUGGAAUGGCUAAUGGCUCGGGUAAUUUCUAUGUUCAACUCUUGCAGUUCAUUAAUGUGAAUUCAAAUUGACGUGGUUGUUUUUAACAGCCUCCCUUUUCAGCAGUAAUUAAAUCAUAUUUACUUUGCUCCACAGCAUAACGCCAGUGUGAAUACUGCUUAAAGUUUUUCAACCAGGGUCAUUUUUGGAAAUUCUGUUCAAUCUGGAAAACAUUUAAGAAGCUUAGAGACACUCGGUCUCAUCAUCCUUUUACAUCAUGUGGUCUGGCUACCAGACUUGUGCUUUAACCUCAGGUUCACUGGACAAGAAGUGACUCUUUUUGCUGCGUAAUUAAGGGGUGUGUGUUAUGCUGUGCUUGCUUUAAUAUGUGCACUGACUGACAAAAAAUGUUUAAUGUAAAAUGGUUUGAGACACUGCAACAGUUUGCAACGAUGCCUUUUUUUUAUGCUUACUCUAUACGCCAGGUCCUCACUUUACUGUCUGCUGUCUAAGUCAUUUUAUUUAAUUGCAGUGUUUUUUUCUUUUUCUUUUUGGAUGUUCAUACUGUUUCGAUUAAAAAGUGAAAAUUGAUAUCUCAAUGUGUUUUGUGCCUCAGUAAGCUUUCUGACAUGCGUGAGAUCGAGCAUCUCUGUAAUGAUGUUUUUGUGAAAGUUGUCAGGUAACAGUGUACAUGCCAGUGUACAAUCAAUAACACGCUACAAUUAUUACCGUUAUUAUGCUAAUCCUCACUGGUAACACGUCAUAACCAGCUCAUUCAUUUCGCUGUCCCACUCUCUCUGUACCUACGUGGUACCUACCUAGAUUUGGUCAGUUAAGUAAUGUGAGGCACAUAACACUGGCACUUGUGUGUGCGCGUUUCCAUGUGGUUUUAGGCAGCAGCCCAGUUCGCCUCUCUCUGGAUUGAACAAUGGGGCUCUUAUAGCACGGAGUCCCAGUCAGACCCUCAGCUACAGUAUAUAGGUGCCACGAAAAAUUUCUGCAUGUUUCAGAUGGGUGGGGCACUUCCUGAAUGUGCACUCUAGCACCCAUGAUGGCAGGAGAUAGGAAAACAAGGACCAACUUAUGCACAUUUAUUAGAGAUCAUAUUGUAAGAUAUAAGGUAUAGUAUAAUAUAUGGAGUGUGAGGUACACAUAUGUAUCAGUUACACAUCCAUGCUGAUCAAUUUGUGUAUAUUUGUGUAUGUGUGUGUGUGUAUAUAUAUA